AAGUCGUAACAAGGUUUCCGUAGGUGAACCUGCGGAAGGAUCAUUAUCGAAAAUCAAAGGCCUAGGAGAAAAGAGGGGGGGAUGCGUGAGACUGUCGCUGGCCUUUCGGGGCACGUGCACGUCCCUCUCCCCCCCUCCUGCCUUCGAAGCCCUGAACUUCUCAACACCUGUGUGCACCCACUGUAGGUCCUUCGGGAUCUAUGUCUUCUCUUUCGAACUCUCGCAUGUCUACAGAAUGUAUGCGUCGCGUCGGCGACGGCAAACCUUGUACAACUUUCAGCAAUGGAUCUCUUGGCUCUC
RNAcentral lists this unclassified non-coding RNA (300 nucleotides) under Scleroderma polyrhizum. Its description in RNAcentral is "partial internal transcribed spacer region". The stretch from base 1 to 46 matches the Rfam family "Eukaryotic small subunit ribosomal RNA", at positions 1786 to 1831 of the family's 1831-position model. Lineage: Eukaryota; Fungi; Basidiomycota; Agaricomycetes; Boletales; Sclerodermataceae. The record is from RNAcentral.